ACGUAGGCAGCAAGCGUUGUUCGGAGUUACUGGGCGUAAAGAGUGCGUAGGCGGUUUUCCAAGUUUGGUGUGAAAUCUCCCGGCUUAACCGGGAGGGUGCGCCGAAAACUGGAAGGCUAGAGUAUGGGAGAGGUAAGCGGAAUUCCCGGUGCAGCGGUGAAAUGCGUAGAUAUCGGGAGGAACACCUGUGGUGUAGACGGCUUACUGGACCAUCACUGACGCUGAGGCACGAAAGCGUGGGUAGCAAACAGGAUUAGAUACCCUGGUAGUCCACGCCCUAAACGAUGCAUACUUGGUGUGGGCCAUUCAGUUGGUCUGUGCCGGAGCUAACGCGUUAAGUAUGCCGCCUGGGGAGUACGGUCGCAAGGCUG
RNAcentral lists this ribosomal RNA (371 nucleotides) under uncultured bacterium. RNAcentral describes it as "bacterial SSU rRNA". It matches the Rfam family "Bacterial small subunit ribosomal RNA", at positions 525 to 896 of the family's 1533-position model. The record is from RNAcentral.